UCCCUAGUGGCUCAGUUGGUAAAGAAUCUGCCUACAAUGCAGGAGACCCAGGUUCGAUCCCUGGGUACGGAA
RNAcentral lists this transfer RNA (72 nucleotides) under Capra hircus (goat). It matches the Rfam family "tRNA". From Rfam's summary of the family: Transfer RNA (tRNA) molecules are approximately 80 nucleotides in length. Their secondary structure includes four short double-helical elements and three loops (D, anti-codon, and T loops). The record is from Rfam by way of RNAcentral. Lineage: Eukaryota; Metazoa; Chordata; Mammalia; Artiodactyla; Bovidae. RNAcentral also lists the same sequence under 1 other name.